AUGAAUAAAUGUUUGCCACCACUAGAAAUACAUCCUGGCCUAAAGUCCAAGCUCAUACUAUAGAAGGGGUCUCUGAUGUGAUGAUGGUUGAUAUUGACCUAGCUGGUUGCCAGAGGUAUACAAGACUCCUAUUGUUAAUAGCAUUGUAAAAGAGAAGAAAUCCCUUGUUCCUUUUAAGGUAAAUAUCAAGAGCUGACAUGUGGAAGAUGCUGAGUAUCCAAGGAAG
RNAcentral lists this long non-coding RNA (226 nucleotides) under Callithrix jacchus (white-tufted-ear marmoset). RNAcentral describes it as "lncRNA (ENSCJAG00000072617.1)". The record is from RNAcentral. Lineage: Eukaryota; Metazoa; Chordata; Mammalia; Primates; Cebidae.